RNAcentral lists this non-coding RNA (808 nucleotides) under Parnassius epaphus (common red apollo). The record is from RNAcentral. RNAcentral also lists the same sequence under 1 other name. Lineage: Eukaryota; Metazoa; Arthropoda; Insecta; Lepidoptera; Papilionidae.
AAAAAAAUCUAUAUGAGAAAAUUUUAUAUAUAAAUAAAUUUUUAUGAUUUAAAAAAAUUUAAUUUAAAUUUAUUUUACAUGUAAAUUUUAGUGUUAAUUUUUAAUUAUUUUAAUAAUAAUUAUUAAUAUUUGCAGUAAUUAAAAUUAAAAAUUUAAGAAAUUAAGAUUUAGAAAUAUUUUGAUUAUUAACAAAUUUUGUGCCAGCAGUUGCGGUUAUACAAAAAAUAAUUUAAAUUUUAUCGGUAUAUAAUAAAUAAGAAUUAUUAUUUAAAUUAAAUAUUAAAUUAUUAAGUGAAAUUUUAAUUUAAUUAAAAUUUAUAUUAAUUUUAUGAUUUAUUAAAUUUUAUAAAAAACUAGGAUUAGAUACCCUACUAUUAAAAAUUAAAUUUAUAAUACUAAAAUAGUAGAUAAUAAUUUAUUGAAACUUAAAUAAUUUGGCGGUAUUUUAGUUCAUUUAGAGGAAUCUGUUUAAUAAUUGAUAAUCCACGAAUAAAUUUACUUAAUUUAUUAUUUUGUAUAUCGUUGUUAAAAAAAUAUUUUUUAAUAAAAAUAAUAUUUAAAAAUUUUUAUAUAAAAUUAAUUCAGAUCAAGAUGCAGAUUAUAAUUAAGAAUAUAAUGGAUUACAAUAAAUAAAUUUAAAUGAAUAAUAUUUUUUAAUAAAUAUUUGAAGGUGGAUUUAAAUGUAAUUUUAAUUAAUUUAUUAAAAUGAUUAUAUAUUAAAAUAUGUACAUAUUGCCCGUCGCUUUCAUUAAUAAAUUGGAAUAAGUCGUAACAAAGUAGAGGUACUGGAAAGUGUUUCUAGAAAGAA